UCUGACUCUUUCAAUUUUGUUUUUUACUUUUUAUCGGAGCAGCGUUGCAGUGAUAAAAUUUUCGACGACGAUGCACCAAGUCUUUGUACUCCAAAACCAGCGUUUUAUCGGCCGAUAAUUUCCGACAGAAUAGCCGCGGUUCAUUGAUAUUUUCUUCUUUUCUUUCUUUUUAACACGUAUGAAUUUUCGAUGUAAAAGGUUCGAUGAGAGACGUUUCGUCCAAGUGUCGUUGUCCGGCCUUUGCGGUGUUGUUGUAUCGCGUGCAAUUUGCAUGCGAAUGCGUGCCACCGCUUACGUUAUCCACAACGCCGUUUACAAAUAACCACGAACCGGCCCCGUUUACAAAUCGCGGACAAAACUUUUGUUACUCUCUCGUCGCCUGUCUCGCGCAAACGCCUCGUUUCUUUCAGUCCUCGAGGAAACUGGGCCUCGCCUUUUUCUUCCAUGCGAUCAAGAUCACGAUUCUUUUUUCCAUAAAGAAACGCGAGGAAAAGAAUUUUGCGGACGGUUGGUGAUAAAAGAAUAAUUCCAUCGAUUCGAUCGCUCAGUCUUUUAUUCCAUUAGGUCGUUUACAAUUACGCAAUUAGAUGAAUUAUAUCGUUCGUUCUUGAAGAAGACAAACAUUACAAAUUCGAAGUGUGAACCGGGCAUCGCGUACGAAAGAGCCGGAGAGUAUCGUCCGCGAAGUUGCAAUUUGCCAAUGCACGCGGCAGUAGAGGCAAAGUGAAAGUGCAGUGCGCGCAGAGCGGCGGUUCUCGGUGUCUUGGAAGCCGGGGAGCGCAGAACCUUCUGACCUUGUCCCAAAUACUGCAACUGACUGGCUCGUUCGUACCUCUGGACUACGACGACGACGACGACGAAGACAACGACGACGAGGAAUCCACGAUAACUCGGUGAUCGGAUGAAAAGAGGAAGGAGAAGAAGAAAACGGUGAAGAAGGCAAUCCUGUCCGACGAAGCGGACAUCGUUCGAUUUGUCGUUCUUCGAUCCCUUGGAAUCUGCUAAUAAAAAGAGAACAUCGUCUGGUCGGAUCGCCAAAUUUAAGCUUCGCAUCCAGAUCCAAGGCACGAAGCUACGUACGCGGUUAGAAACGGGCUCCUUGGACUUGGCCAAGAGGUAAAGGGGUUCCGCGAGAGCUUGAAAUAUUCAAAAGCAGGUUGGAGAACGGUGAGCAAGACUUGAUAGCGUUACCUAGCUGUCGGCGAAGGGUCGACGGCACCCCAACUCGACGAUUAGCCUCCACCGUCGGCUGUCUCGCUGUUUAGCAACUAUAACUCGUCUGCUCUAAUUUCGUUGCGUCCCCCUCUUUCCUUUUCUUCCUUCUCCGUAACGCGAUGGCGAAACGGCUCUAAAUUACAGUCUCGAAAGCGAAGAAGAGUUAAGCCGCCGCUCGUGAGCGUCGGGCAAACGAUAGGGGACGCCGGGAAAAAAUGUGAAGAACUCUGUUCGCGCCGGCGGCGCAUCUGUCGAACGCGCUGGCUAUUUUUAAACGGAAAAUAUACCCUGUUUUUCCUAAAGAAAAAGCCUCUACCCUCUUUGGAAGAUUACCCUCUGUCGUCGUUGCACCCUGUUCGAAUCGAACAUGAAUAUUUCGCAUCGUCCAAGGAGCCGGCAGGUCGGAAACCCUGCAACUUCGCGGCUCGGCUCGCGCGAAAGAGGAAGCCCUCGUAUUCAACGAGCCUUCGCGUCGACGGGGUAUUCGCGCGCGAAUCUCCGUAUAGAAUGUGGAUGACACUAACCAUCGGUGCCAUGCCGGUGUAUCCGUCGUCGGUUAAUGGCGUCGAUAGUCGCCGUUGAUGACGGCGACGGUGCAUGGUGGUAGCAGCUGUCGUUACCCAGAGGCGAGCUUGCCCGUGACUAAUCCUGCAUUCCGAUUCACCAUAACCUGCCCUGCGAACCUACCCCUAUGCCCUGUGCCACGCCGAUUAAGCGUACCGGCUUAUCCUAGCCUGUCAUCCGGCGCUACAAGGAAACCGAAUCGAUACCGCCACGCGUCACCGACUCACUAAUUCUUACGUCGUUUCGCAAACAUCCAUCCGGCUACCUUCCUCCUCGGCAACAACGUGCUUCUUCGGCUUCUCUUUCGUUGUCAACUUUCCACCCCUUCGACGUCUCUCAAGACCGAUACCGUUCCUUCAUUUUCCCCGUUUCUUCGCCACUCGACCGCGCGUAACGCAAUACGCUCGACAUUUUCUCCCGAGGCAAAGACGAACCGAACCACCGUCGCGGUACAUCCUCGUGCUUAUCAAGAUUUCUUCUUCGUCCCGCGCUAAUAUCGUCCUACUACGUAACGAAAUAUUUUCAUUGCGCUCUUUGCCCACGGCAGCGAACGGAUGUCGUAGCCGCGGACGAUAUUAAAAUCAAAUCAAGCAGGAAAACGUCGGGCUAAUAUUUCUUCUCGUCGACGAAGAUUUUUAUCGAAGACGAGGAGGACUCGCGACGGAUGGAUAGAGAACGGGGAAGAUAAAGGGAACGGCUAGGAAAAUGUGAAAGGGCGAAGGGGGAAAGAGAAUUAAACGGGACGAAAAGACGAAACUCUCCGCCAAUUUUCUUCCUUUCAGAGCACGAUGCGCGCUCACCGCGAGUCUAGUGUAAUUGUGUACUUUGUGCUCGCGCUUCGAUCAGCGUUCCGUAACGAGUUGUCAUACGGCGCAAAAACACCGAUCGAUACCGUGUGCAUUACGGCCGUGUGUAACGACCGCCGUCUACGUGUGCGCCUGUCUCUCCUCUCGCCCCUUUUCACCCUCCCUCCCUCUCUCUCUCUUUGUCCGCUGCAUUUCACGUGCAAACGUGUGUGCCCAUUGUGUCUAUGGACACACCCGUUCAGCCUGUCGGAGGCUCGAGCGUAAGCACGCGACCGAAUGUCACCGAGCGAUAAGCAUUCGCCCAAGUCUUCUUCCCUCUUUCUCUUCCUGCCGAAUUUCCCAGAUUUCCCAAAUUUUCAACUGGCUCAAUAUCGGUUUCACACGAGAUCUAUGAUGACGGAAACAACGGCUUGUCCCUGAUCGCGUUCGUCACGAUUGCAGCGUACAGUCGUUAGCUAGUAUAAUCGUCGCGUCAUCGAUCGAUUUGAUUCGAUACAUGAUUCAGAACGCAACGUAGUCAAAGCACGAGCUGCUCUCUAGAGCAGCGGCAAGUUGAAUUUCCAUUCUUUCUCGGACACUGGCAAAGUUUCGCGGCAACAAACUUGGAAACUAUUCCCCUCCUUCGGUUUGUACUCAUUUACGAUGGGGUGGAAAAGUUGGUAGGCCACCUCGACUCGCCAUUCGGACAGAUAUUAUCGAUUCAACUCGAGAGAAAUUCUUUAAUUCGUAUACUCGCAAAUUGAAAAUACAAACUACCUUUCGGACGUUCGAAAGAAAAUUCAAGGAAAAUACUCUCGUUCGUAUUGUUCUCCGUUGUUCGAAGGGAAAGGCGCGUCGACGCGUAUGGAUCGAGGCGAAUGACUCACGUAAAUUACACAAACUAUAAAAAUCGAUGAACGCGUUGAUUCGUCGAGGUUGGUUUUCAACAACCCCACAAACUCCCCCGAUUUUGGCCCCUUUUUAGUUCUUCAUACCAGACGCGCGCUCCUCGUCGAAACAAAAGCCUGGUAUUUUGCAGGUUGCAGGAAACGGGUCGUACUAAAAUGGGGAAGAACGUGCGUUCUCGUCGAAUUUAUUUGUCCCGUGCACGAUUUAUCGGUUAAACGAAACCGAACGAUCUGUCUGAUUACCACAGUAGAUUCAGUUUCGGGUUGUAAAGCACUGCCGUAAUAUUCUUUUUUAACGUAACUUUGUUUCUUCUUCUACGAUUGUAAAAUCAACAGAAGAAAAAAGAAACAUUUCGCGCUCAAAGAAGUAAUAACCAUUUGAUGUUGAUAGCUGGGGGUUGUUUUCCCUCUGCCAUUCAUCGGGUAUUAGCAGAAAGAAAAGCAAAAAGGGAGGAAAAAGAAAGUUUCUUCCAAGAAGCGCGUCGCGUGGAGCGUGUUUCGCAACGAAACGAAAGGUAAGGAAAGGAAGCGAAGCGUUCGAGGGACUAGCGUGGCCGACAAAACUUCUUCAGGCGGAACCCGUUGCUCCCUUCGAUCGGAGCGUGUGUCUCCCUCUUUUUGCGGGCAGCGAGCCGGUAGAACGGGAAGGAGGUUGGUCGAGGCGGCUCGACCAGGACCUACCCCAAAUCAGCCGUUAGGCCUUUCGGCAGCCAGGGUGAGGCUCGUGCGUGCUCGGUCAAAACUUUCUCCACCGACAUCCGGCCCUAACCUUCCGCACGGGGGAACUCGUUGCGUUCGCCGCAACGCGCGGCGAAAUAAAUGUCCCGCCGUUUCGCGUACAGUCUACACCGAAAGUAUCGCGCGUCCACGUAUCCCUUUUUCCUUUUUCCUUUCCAGCUUUUCGCAAACUUUCGCGAUCCGUUAGUUUUCAAAGUGCCGCGAAACUCGCGUCGAAUCGAUUCAACCCGUUCGAAUAUUCACGUUUCCCGCCGUAUGACUCACGCGCAUAGCAAUUUAACGCGCGUCAAAACUCUCGACGCGAAGCGCGAAAAUAGCGUUUAUUAACUUACAAUAGGUUGCUUCGCACGUUUACUGUGCCGUUCACGCGCUAGUUUAGCCGAUUGUAACGCGCGAAUCGAUGGCGCGGGAAUAUGAAUCGAUACCCGUAUACCGUGUUCAAUCGACGAAUAGGUAAUUCUAUUGUGUUAGAACGGUGAAAAAAGAAAAUAGUAAGACGGAGAGUAGAAAUAGCGAGCUCGUAGUCGGGUAAUCGUCGUUCGACUUUUCGCGAGCCUGCGAUCGAUCGAAAGUGUUUUUUCGACGAGGAAAGUUCGUCACUGGCCUGGUCGCAAAUCCGAUUAACCUGACCCGGAGCCGUUGUAAACGGAGAAGCCUCGUGGCUUAUUAAUGGCCGACCAGAGCGGAGGCCAGCGAGCCCUUUUUGCUCGAACCUCGAACAAGCACGAAGAAUGCGGCGUCGUUCGACAACUUUGGCCAACGAUUUCGAUCCGGAAAGACGGUGUACCACGGCUGGUCUAGGUGCCUGGGCCACGGGCGUCUGGAAUGGGGGCUUCAGACCACCAUGCACGUGCUCGAGGAGAGGCCGGCACCGGGUGCGACCCCCGGAUACGCAUCCGAGGUGGGCACUAGUGUGACAGCAGGCGUGGAGGUCUCCGGACUAAUAUACAUAACGUACCAGAGCCCUCCUUUAUCGCCAGUGUUGGUCGCCGUAGGGUUGUAGCACUGAUGUAUCAGUGGGUUUUCGUCAGUAGGAAUCUGACACUCGCCCGCCGCUCUUCCCCAGUGGUCGAUGGGGGUCUUAUGCAAACUUCCCCACGUUAAAAAAAAGAAAUAUUUACAGCCACUGAUUCCAACAAAGGUAGCUGGCCAUAGAUGGCUGGGGCACCGUUAGCAAUCGUUUGACAUACAGCGAAAUGAAACAUCAUCAGUCUUAUACCGACCGCCGAAGGAUGCAGAUCUACCUGCCAAACAUACAUAUACCCAUAUUUUAUUUUCUACGUUCAUUUAAUUCCCUCUAUUUAUCUUCUUAGCUUAUUGAAUAAACUCAUUAGAAAGACGAACGUGUUGAUUUUAUUACUCCCGUGUGCAUCCUUUACAUCCCUGAUUCCUUUACAUCUCUGCACCCCUUAUAAACCUGCAUUAUUUACAUCCCAGCAUUCAUUACAUCACUGCAUCCUUUAC
Molecule: non-coding RNA, 5674 nt
Organism: Osmia lignaria (orchard mason bee)
Lineage: Eukaryota; Metazoa; Arthropoda; Insecta; Hymenoptera; Megachilidae
Source: RefSeq, a predicted model, not a curated record